RNAcentral lists this ribosomal RNA (460 nucleotides) under uncultured bacterium. RNAcentral describes it as "partial 16S ribosomal RNA". It matches the Rfam family "Bacterial small subunit ribosomal RNA", at positions 338 to 795 of the family's 1533-position model. The record is from RNAcentral.
CCUACGGGAGGCAGCAGUGAGGAAUAUUGGUCAAUGGGCGGAAGCCUGAACCAGCCAAGUCGCGUGAGGGAAUAAGGCCCUACGGGUCGUAAACCUCUUUUGCCGGGGAGCAAGGGCCGGGACGAGUCCCGGUCCGGAGAGUACCCGGAGAAAAAGCAUCGGCUAACUCCGUGCCAGCAGACGAGGUAAUACGGAGGAUGCGAGCGUUAUCCGGAUUUAUUGGGGUUAAAGGGGGCGUAGGCGGGCUUUUAAGUCAGCGGUAAAAAUUCGGGGCUCAAACCCGUCCGGCCGUUGAAACUGGGGGCCUUGAGUGGGCGAGAAGAAGGCGGAAUGCGUGGUGUAGCGGUGAAAUGCAUAGAUAUCACGCAGAACCCCGAUUGUGAAGGCAGCCUUCCGGCGCCCUACUGACGCUGAGGCACGAAAGUGCGGGGAUCGAACAGGAUUAGAUACCCCUGUAGUC